CCCAGUAGCUCAAAUGGUGAAGAAUUUGCCUGCAAUGCAGGAGACCAGGGUUCUAUCCCUGUGUUGGGA
This 69-nucleotide transfer RNA is filed under the name Bos taurus (domestic cattle). It matches the Rfam family "tRNA". From Rfam's summary of the family: Transfer RNA (tRNA) molecules are approximately 80 nucleotides in length. Their secondary structure includes four short double-helical elements and three loops (D, anti-codon, and T loops). RNAcentral also lists the same sequence under 2 other names. Lineage: Eukaryota; Metazoa; Chordata; Mammalia; Artiodactyla; Bovidae. The record is from Rfam by way of RNAcentral.